UGGGGAAUUUUGGACAAUGGGCGAAAGCCUGAUCCAGCAAUGCCGCGUGUGUGAAGAAGGCCUUCGGGUUGUAAAGCACUUUUGUCCGGAAAGAAAUCCUUGGCUCUAAUACAGUCGGGGGAUGACGGUACCGGAAGAAUAAGCACCGGCUAACUACGUGCCAGCAGCCGCGGUAAUACGUAGGGUGCAAGCGUUAAUCGGAAUUACUGGGCGUAAAGCGUGCGCAGGCGGUUUGCUAAGACCGAUGUGAAAUCCCCGGGCUCAACCUGGGAACUGCAUUGGUGACUGGCAGGCUAGAGUAUGGCAGAGGGGGGUAGAAUUCCACGUGUAGCAGUGAAAUGCGUAGAGAUGUGGAGGAAUACCGAUGGCGAAGGCAGCCCCCUGGGCCAAUACUGACGCUCAUGCACGAAAGCGUGGGGAGCAAACAGGAUUAGAUACCCUGGUAGUCCACGCCCUAAACGAUGUCAACUAGUUGUUGGGGAUUCAUUUCCUUAGUAACGUAGCUAACGCGUGAAGUUGG
Molecule: ribosomal RNA, 520 nt
Filed under: uncultured bacterium
Lineage: Bacteria
Description: partial 16S ribosomal RNA
Rfam family: Bacterial small subunit ribosomal RNA
Source: RNAcentral